CUUAAUUUUACUUUUAUUCAAUAAUCUUAAAAUAAUUUAAUAAUUUUAAAAUAAAAAAAAUUAUAAUUUUUAAAAAGAAGAUAAACUUGACACAUGAUAGCAGAUCAAAAUUUUUCGAUCAGAUAUUAUUAGAAAGCUCCCCAUUAAAGUUUUUUUUAUGUUCUAUUAUUGUCGUAACGGAAUAUAGGGUGUUUCGCAAAGAGGAGAUUAAUAUAUGCUUGGACAUCUUAAAUUGUCAAUGGCCCAUAAAUUAUUACUCUUUUUUUUAAAAAAUAAUCAUAAUUAUUAUAUUUAUUUUUAAAUAAUUAAAAAAAAUUUCAUGAAAAGACUGAA
This 333-nucleotide long non-coding RNA is filed under the name Ananas comosus (pineapple). RNAcentral's name for it is "long non-coding RNA (ACOM_LNC027268)". The record is from RNAcentral. Lineage: Eukaryota; Viridiplantae; Streptophyta; Magnoliopsida; Poales; Bromeliaceae.